AUGAUGGACUAUAGGACAGGACUGCUGCUUUUAACUGUCUGCUGGGCAGGUGUUGAUGGUCAGACUCUGACAGAAUCUGAACCAGCUGUUAAAAGGCCUGGAGAAUCCCACAGAUUGACCUGUACAACCUCUGGAUUCACAUUCAGUGACUACAGCAUGCAUUGGAUCAGACAGGCUCCUGGAAAAGGACUGGAGUGGAUUGCUUAUAUCAGUAGCGGUGGUAGCAGCAAAUACUACUCUCAGUCAGUUCAAGGCCGGUUUACCAUCUCCAGAGACAACAGCAGACAGCAGGUGUAUCUGCAGAUGAACAGUCUGAAGACUGAAGACUCUGCUGUUUAUUAUUGUGCUCGACACUCACAGUGACUGGAGUUGGUUGAACAGCUGUUCAAAAACCUACAGUACUCAUAUUUCAGGCUGAUAGAGACGUGCAUGCGUGCAUGCAUGCAAGCAUGACGUUUCUUAACAUUCAUAUUAUAUGAUUAGUUCUAUAUACUAUUGUUUAUAUUUCACGUUACAUAUUUUUGUGAAUAAUGCAUUAUACAAAGUCCUGAAGAGUGUUUCUGAAAUAUAUUGCAGAGAGGAGGAGUCAAUUAAUACACUGUCUGUGAGGUAGACCAUAUAAUUUCAUUUGUAUGAUUCAUUCACUUGUCAUAUAAUAUAAAAAUAAAAAUAAGAAAGU
This is a non-coding RNA of Micropterus salmoides (largemouth bass), 679 nucleotides long. The record is from the annotation of a RefSeq genome assembly. Lineage: Eukaryota; Metazoa; Chordata; Actinopteri; Centrarchiformes; Centrarchidae.